GAUGAACGCUAGCUACAGGCUUAACACAUGCAAGUCGAGGGGAAACGAUAUUGGAAGCUUGCUUCCGAUAGGCGUCGACCGGCGCACGGGUGAGUAACGCGUAUCCGACCUGCUCACCACUUGGGGAUAACCUUGCGAAAGUAAGACUAAUACCCCAUGAUAUCUCUAGAAGACAUCUGAAGGAGAUUAAAGAUUUAUCGGUGAUGGAUGGGGAUGCGUCUGAUUAGCUUGUUGGCGGGGUAACGGCCCACCAAGGCGACGAUCAGUAGGGGUUCUGAGAGGAAGGUCCCCCACAUUGGAACUGAGACACGCUCUAAACUCCUACGGGAGGCAGCAGUGAGGAAUAUUGGUCAAUGGGCGAGAGCCUGAACCAGCCAAGUAGCGUGCAGGAUGACGGCCCUAUGGGUUGUAAACUGCUUUUAUAAGGGAAUAAAGUGAGUCUCGUGAGACUUUUUGCAUGUACCUUAUGAAUAAGGACCGGCUAAUUCCGUGCCAGCCGCCGCCGUAA
Molecule: ribosomal RNA, 508 nt
Filed under: uncultured bacterium
Lineage: Bacteria
Description: partial 16S ribosomal RNA
Rfam family: Bacterial small subunit ribosomal RNA
Source: RNAcentral